This is a long non-coding RNA of Actinia tenebrosa (Australian red waratah sea anemone), 507 nucleotides long. RefSeq lists it as uncharacterized. The record is from RefSeq and is a predicted model, not a curated record. NCBI's taxonomy places the organism in Eukaryota, Metazoa, Cnidaria, Anthozoa, Actiniaria, Actiniidae.
CGGCGAGCGAGACGUAGAUGUUCAAUGUCAGCUUAGGUUUCUCUUUUUUCUCACGAGUGAAAGUUGCGGGUGAGAAUACAUGAAAUUAUCUGUUUUCGUGUCCCAAUCUAUCACUUAUGACUGAUUUUGGAAAGAGAAGACUACAGUGAAGAUAAGACGAGAGUAUUUUGGUACUUUUUUUGGACAGAGGAUCGCGAAAGAUGGAUUUAUUGAACGAAAACAGCGUCACUCAGAGACUGAAGAUGCUGUAGUUUAGUACAUAAAUAUCACUGUUGGGCUGUCUACAAAUGAUCAACACAGCUCUCUCCUUUUUUGGCUGCCCUCGGAUCUUGGAUGGAAUUCUUCAAGCUCCUUCACUACCGACUCACAAGCCUGAGAGUCGUUACUGACUGUCUAACAACUGAUUUUGAUCCUGAUUCUCUAUGCAUUGCAAAACAUAUCCUUUUGUUAAAAUGAGUUAAGAGUAUUAAAUUAUUUGCACAAGAAUUAAAUAUCAAUUGACAUGAA